This 293-nucleotide ribosomal RNA is filed under the name uncultured bacterium. Its description in RNAcentral is "partial 16S ribosomal RNA". It matches the Rfam family "Archaeal small subunit ribosomal RNA", at positions 455 to 747 of the family's 1478-position model. The record is from RNAcentral.
GUGCCAGCCGCCGCGGUAAUACCGGCAGCCCAAGUGAUGGCCGAUCUUAUUGGGCCUAAAGCGUCCGUAGCUGGCUACGCAAGUCCGUCGGGAAAUCCACUCGCCCAACGAGUGGGCGUCCGACGGAAACUGCAUAGCUUGGGACCGGAAGGCUCGAAGGGUACGUGCGGGGUAGGAGUGAAAUCCCAUAAUCCCGCACGGACCACCGAUGGGGAAACCACCUCAGGAGAACGGAUCCGACAGUGAGGGACGAAAGCCAGGGUCUCGAACCGGAUUAGAAACCCUGGUAGUCC